Molecule: unclassified non-coding RNA, 285 nt
Filed under: plant metagenome
Description: partial contains small subunit ribosomal RNA, internal transcribed spacer 1, and 5.8S ribosomal RNA
Rfam family: Eukaryotic small subunit ribosomal RNA (bases 1-54)
Source: RNAcentral
GGAAGUAAAAGUCGUAACAAAGUUUCCGUAGGUGAACCUGCGGAAGGAUCAUUAUUGUAUAACCGAGGUGCGAGGGCUGUCGCUGACCCGAAAGGUCGUGCACGCCCGAGUGCCCUCACACACAUCCAUCUCACCCCUAUGUGCACCACCGCGUGGGUCCCCCUUUGGCUUGUUCGGAGGGGGGCUUACGUUUUCACACAAACUUUGUAUGCAGUGUAGAAUGUAUUUUUUGUUUUUGCGAUCACGCAAUCAAUACAACUUUCAACAACGGAUCUCUUGGCUCUC